Molecule: ribosomal RNA, 479 nt
Filed under: uncultured bacterium
Lineage: Bacteria
Description: partial 16S ribosomal RNA
Rfam family: Bacterial small subunit ribosomal RNA
Source: RNAcentral
GAUGAACGCUAGCGGGAGGCCUAACACAUGCAAGCCGAGCGGUAUUGUUUCUUCGGAAAUGAGAGAGCGGCGUACGGGUGCGUAACACGUGUGCAACCUGCCUUUAUCUGGGGGAUAGCCUUUCGAAAGGAAGAUUAAUACUCCAUAAUAUAUUGAACGGCAUCGUUUAAUAUUGAAAGCUCCGGCGGAUAGAGAUGGGCACGCGCAAGAUUAGCUAGUUGGUGAGGUAACGGCUCACCAAGGCGAUGAUCUUUAGGGGGCCUGAGAGGGUGAUCCCCCACACUGGUACUGAGACACGGACCAGACUCCUACGGGAGGCAGCAGUGAGGAAUAUUGGUCAAUGGGUGCAAGCCUGAACCAGCCAUCCCGCGUGAAGGACGACUGCCCUAUGGGUUGUAAACUUCUUUUGUAUAGGGAUAAACCUACCCUCGAGAGGGUAGCUGAAGGUAUUAUACGAAUAAGCACCGGCUAACUCCGUG